RNAcentral lists this long non-coding RNA (690 nucleotides) under Sinocyclocheilus anshuiensis. RNAcentral's name for it is "lncRNA (ENSSANG00000003786.1)". Lineage: Eukaryota; Metazoa; Chordata; Actinopteri; Cypriniformes; Cyprinidae. The record is from RNAcentral.
GUUCGUCUUGGCGCUAGUUGAAGCGUCGGUUACAGUGUACAGUGCGCGUUCAGAUUCAGAAUGAAAUCAGACUGAUUGUAGGAGAAUCAUGUUGAGGAGAGCGAGCAGCGGGAAGAGCAGCUCGGUGGGGUUUGAUGAAUUCGGUUUUGCUCUCAGCAAGAAAAGAGACAGGAAACUCCAACACAGAUGUCACGACUACAGUUAUCCUCAGCCUAAUCCAGUUAAAGUGAAGGAACUGUGUGAAUUCCUCAGUUACUGGAAUGGAGCCAGUUUUAUCUGCAGAAAUCAGAUCGAGAAGUUUAUUCGUAUCGGUAUUCCUCCAGCAAUACGUGGACGAGUUUGGAAAUGCCUCCUAAAUAUCGACAGUAUCAGAGCUGCCAGCUCUUUUGAUUAUGAGGCUUGUCAGGCUGAGAUCCGUAAACCUCUGGUUGAUCUUGGAGUGAGUGAGUACAGUAUCAUCCCUACUAUAGACUCUCUAGUGGACACAGAGAAUGAGAUCAGCAGCGGACAGGCUUCGGAUCUCCUCAGCGCUGACCUAACGCUCUUCAAACAGAUCGCCCUCGACCUGCGAAGGUCGUUUCCCACCCAUCGCACUCUGAUGGGGGACCGUCCGGAGGCUAUUGAGGGCCAGGCCAAACUUUUCAGAGUUCUUACCGCAUUUGCCCGAUAUAAUCCCCAGAUUGGAUAUGU